RNAcentral lists this ribosomal RNA (247 nucleotides) under uncultured bacterium. RNAcentral's name for it is "partial 16S ribosomal RNA". The record is from RNAcentral.
CUGCUGCCUUCCGUAGGAGUCUGGUCCGUGUCUCAGUACCAGUGUGGGGGACCUUCCUCUCAGAACCCCUACGCAUCGUCGUCUUGGUGGUCCGUUACACCGCCAACUAGCUAAUGCGACGCAUGCCCAUCCGCCACCGGAAUCAACCUUUGGCACCAACAGGAUGUCCCGUCGAUGCAUUAUGCCGUAUUAGACGGAAUUUCUCCCGAUUAUCCGGCUGUGGCAGGCAGGUUGCAUACGUGUUACU